RNAcentral lists this ribosomal RNA (253 nucleotides) under uncultured bacterium. RNAcentral's name for it is "partial 16S ribosomal RNA". It matches the Rfam family "Bacterial small subunit ribosomal RNA", at positions 524 to 776 of the family's 1533-position model. The record is from RNAcentral.
UACGAAGGGGGCAAGCGUUGCUCGGGAUCACUGGGCGUAAAGGGCGCGUAGGCGGAUUAAUAAGUCGGUGGUGAAAUCCUAGAGCUCAACUCUAGAAGUGCCUUCGAUACUGUUAGUCUUGAGAUUGGGAGAGGUGAGUGGAAUUCCGAGUGUAGAGGUGAAAUUCGUAGAUAUUCGGAGGAACACCAGUGGCGAAGGCGACUCACUAGACCGAUUCUGACGCUGAGGCGCGAAAGCGUGGGGAGCAAACAGG